This is a long non-coding RNA of Bombus huntii, 4118 nucleotides long. RefSeq lists it as uncharacterized. Lineage: Eukaryota; Metazoa; Arthropoda; Insecta; Hymenoptera; Apidae. The record is from RefSeq and is a predicted model, not a curated record. The transcript is spliced from 8 exons.
UAGCACGGGGUAGCUGCGAGUCUGCUCCGGAGAGCCUGGUCGCGGUUGCUGGACCAUCAUCGAGCUAGUUAAUUCGGAAUGAACAACUAGUCGUGAGGCUGUGAGGCUAGUAUUCGGGUUGGGGUUAGGUGCGUGGGAUUUUCUUCUCCCUAAAGGGUAAGGGACACUUAGCUGUGUUCUCUUUCGACGGUUGGGCGACACGUGUUGUUUUCGGACUACGCUGGGCACUAGAGACACGUCUGCACGCUUCGGCACUCCACAGCGAACUGAGCCCAAGCUCACUAUCAUAAAUCUGGAACAAAUACAAUCGGAUUGAAUGGCGGCAAUCGCUUAAUUACGGCUAUGGUAGAAUCUAGAUUAAAGUGUUAAGGGACUUUCCCAAAAUUCCAAAGGAGAGGCUCCGGUGUCCUUUCAUCUCUGAUAUAUAUAUAUAUAUGCUCAGAUUUCAGAGCUUAGUUUUAGGAGUAAUGUAAUAUCGUAAGGUAGUUCGAAUUAGAAAUCAGUUGAAAAUAGAUAAAACCGAGUACGUCGUCUUUCUGUGGUUCGUUUACAUUUAAGAGUGCCUGCGUGACUAAAGGCACGUAGUUGGUAGUUCUUACAUAGGUAUGAGGGAAACAAUAGACAACGUUAGAAGAAGGACGGUUUCGCUAUCCAAGGCGGGACGACCGAAAGAUCAGAGUGUGCGAGUCGAAAAGUGUGCGUGUUGCGAGAAUCAGAGCUAAUUGAGUCGUCGAAGAGUAGAGUCGUUAGAGGUAAUCGAGUCGUCGAAGAGUAGAGUCGUGAGAAUUGAUAGAGUUGUUAGAGAGAGAGAGUGUGUGUGUGUGUGUUAGAUUCGUUGUGACGAGGGUGGUCAAAUAACUGUAAAGUUAUUUGAUAUAGAUACGAGUAUUGCAUUUAGUUUCCGUUAAAUAAACAUCGUUUUCUGUCCAAUUUAUAUUUGUAUAUUCAAUUUAAUAUUAAUAAAUUGUAAGUAAUCGGAAAAAAAAUUCUAUCCUUAUUUCCACGAUAUUACAGUAAUAUAUUGUAUUUCCCAGAUUACUUUCAUUAAUAUUCGUCUUAAGACAUUAAUAACACUCAAUUUUAAUUUUAUCAAAGCAAAAUAAAUAUUUUUGUUUAAUUAAAACUCUACUCCUAAAAAAAUAAAACUUUUCUAUUUAUGCAAAAUUGCAUGCAAUAAAAGUUUCAAUGAAUACACUUCGUUUUGUAACUGUUUUCUUCAAUCAGAAAAGAUAACGGCCAAAAAAUUAUUGUUAUUCCACAACUAAUUGGAAAUUUUGACAGUUUAAUUCGAUCAUUGGAUCGAUUACACGUACGGUGAUUUUUCAAAUUCGGAAUCAGUUACAGACCUAACUGAAGAGUUAAGCCCUGCGAUGUGUAGUUGGUCCAGGGACAGUGUGGCAAAUCUAUUCGUUCAACGCUGAUUGGUUCCGCCAUUUAUAAAAGCGCUUCCUGCAGCAGUUAUGUAUAGAUUGGUAUAAAUAUAAAUGUAUGAAGUAUACGUUUACAAAGUUGUCUGUAAACAAAGUGUAAUAAUAUUUACCGUGUAUUGGAGUGUAUAUAACGACGGAAAUAAAGAAUAAUAAGAAAAAUCAUCAUAGAGAACAUACAGAAUUAACAUUUAAGUUUGGAACGUUAGUUCAAAUGCCUGAUUACUCAGCCAAGGGAUGCAGAAACAAGUCAAAGAGUGGCCAUAGUUGUACACACAGGUCUGUUAACUGCUGUAAAGGAGAUAAGGUUCUUAAUGUCGCAAGAUGUACUUUACCAAUCGGCCACCAUUGAACACUGCGAUCGAGUAGCUAGGGUUUUGUGUUUGGCGCCAUUCUUCGGUGAAAGCACUAAAGACGUAGCAGUAUAUGCACCACUGCGAACAGGCAGUACAUUGACAGAGAUUAUAGAAGUAGCAUUGGCAACUACUACUUAUGAACCAAAUAACAGGCAAACAAAAAUAAUUCCGCAAGACUUUCUUGACAAAAUCAGAGGAAAAAAGAUUCACUUUCUGCGUACGAGAAUUCCAACUAUUUCCUAUGGAAAGCCACGAACAAAAUAAAGGAGCCAAUUAAACUAAUCCCAGCAAUCAGAUUAACGGACAACACAUGAGCCAGAAGCAACGAAGAGCAAGCUGAAGAAUUUUCCAACCACCUUUGUUGAAGUUAUCUCUUCGAGGAACGCGUGAUGAAUGUGUAACAGAAAUAUAUUUAAGUAUAAGUGUAACUCGUUACAUUACAACAGAGCUUCGAAGCCAUGAGUCUAUGGGUAUUUAUAUAAUUACGAAAACUGGCCGGUCUAUAUAUACCCUGCUGCACCAUCUGUGCAUGGCAUAUUCCUAAAAAAGGCUAUGAGACUGAGAGGCCCUUCAAAUUGAUUUAGAGCUAAACAAUACUCAAUAGCAUCGGGGACUAAGAGAACUAAACGCUAGAGAAGAUGUAGUUUUCCUAGAAACCUAAUUUUUGUCGUAAAUAUUGAAAUCUUGGUUUCGGUAACGCCUUCGUAAAUAUAUCUGCUUGUUACGUCCGGCGACUCUCUACACAAAGCAGACUCCACGCCACAACCAUACCGUCGACCGAUGGGUCCGCGGUAGAAAACGGUAACAAGGAAGAAUGGCCGCAGGAAAUCCCUGACUCCUAAAGCCGCGAGCAAGGUGGUUGGAGCGGAGGAAGCGGCGAUUGAAGCCAUGAACUUAGGUGAUUAAGAUUAAGGGUACGCACCCUCCAGAACAAUCUGGGACAGUCAAGACCUGCUUUUCCAAACCAUUCUGGAGAGCACGGUUGCCCUAGCGGUGGUGGCCGAGCCAUACAGAGUCCUGGACGCUCCGGACUGCGCCGGAGAUACAGACGGCUGUCACCUGGACAUCAGCGCCGGCAUCGUCCGCCCACAGGGAUCCUCUGGAGCGCGGCAACGGAUACGCAGCGGUCGAAUGGUCAGGAAUGGUGGUAGUGGCCGUGUAUGUGUCGCCCAACAGCGAAUGGACAGCGUUCGAGGAGUUCUUGAACGGGGUAGACGACUGCCAUUACGAUUACGAGAUAUAGUAUUACGUUAUAAUACAUUACAUUAUAACGUAUUCCGUUAAAUUGAAUUACGUUAUAUCAUAUUACGUUUUGCCGUUCCUUCACAUACUGAGCAGAAGGCGAACGUUACCAUGAUCGCGGACGGAUAUUAAGACAGGCGGAGUGGGGAUAUGGUAAGAAUAGAAAGGGAGGCAAGUGGAUCAACACAGCAGUUGCCCGUAACCAGUCGUCAGUAGGAAUCGCAACCAGAGAUUUCUGAAGAAGUCGCUGGUCAAGAAAGCAAACGAACUGCGGAACGAAGCGCCGCGUAUUAAGUUGGCAGCCUUCACGUAAUAGAGUACAUUCAGUAAUAUAGUAUUACGUUAUAUAUGUCGGAGAUGAAAGAACACCGGAGUCUGUAAUUGAACAAUUGUAGUUAUUCAAUCCGAUUGUAAUUGUUCGAGAGUUGUGAUAAUGAGCUUGGGCUCGAGGCGACAGUCAGUCGCCGAACGUAGCCGCGGUCACGGGAUGAACGCUUUGUCUAACAAAGGUAUGGAGUAAUUCUAUAGCUCUCCUUAAAAGAAAUAUUCGUGGCGACACGCGACAGUAAACAUUCCAACGGUUUCUGUCCCGUGGCUCGCCACACGCAGACCCUAUUCUUCGAGUAAGAUGAUUACCAGAUGUCGAUGCGUCUCCGCAGUACAUGUUCGGCUAGCCUGAGGACCCGUUAUAAAUCCUAAGAUUUAAUUAACUAAAGUCCUUCAAACAAACAAACAGUCAUUGUCCCAACUACGGGAAAAUAGGGGAGACCUAUUUUUCGACGAGCGGCGUCUCCCACUAGCAACUUUCCAUCGAGGGCGGCUAGCAUCUUUUUCUAACCACCGAUAUGGAGAUUGACCAAUUAGCAGCAACGCCAAUUUGUCUUACUUUCUGAACGAAGGCUUUUCUCGACGAAUCCGAUGAUCUCGUGUCCUUAGACACACCCCAUUAUAGUUUUCCUCUGUGGCAUCAUCGGGACGGGAAAGGCAUUCUCGCUCGCGAUCUCAGUGAUGAAAGGAGUAACUCUUUACAACCAGUGAAUAUUACGCAUCCGACUUAGAUUUCGUGAGUACGUUCAUCUAUCAUCCCGUCGAC